RNAcentral lists this ribosomal RNA (406 nucleotides) under uncultured Armatimonas sp. Its description in RNAcentral is "bacterial SSU rRNA". It matches the Rfam family "Bacterial small subunit ribosomal RNA", at positions 356 to 777 of the family's 1533-position model. Lineage: Bacteria; Bacillati; Armatimonadota; Armatimonadia; Armatimonadales; Armatimonadaceae. The record is from RNAcentral.
UAGGAAUCUUGCACAAUGGGCGAAAGCCUGAUGCAGCGACGCCGCGUGAAGGAUGAAGGUUCUCGGAUCGUAAACUUCUUUUAAGUGGGAAGAAAUUUGACGGUACCACUUGAAUAAGCCCCGGCUAACUACGUGCCAGCAGCCGCGGUAAUACGUAGGGGGCGAGCGUUGUCCGAAGUUACUGGGCGUAAAGCGCGCGUAGGCGGUUUCUUAAGUCUGGGGUGAAAGGUUCAACGCUCAACGUGAACAGUGCCUUGGAUACUGGGAGACUUGAGUUAGGGAGAGGGUAGUGGAAUUCCUGGUGUAGCGGUGAAAUGCGUAGAUAUCAGGAGGAACACCAAUGGCGAAGGCAGCUACCUGGCCUAUAACUGACGCUGAGGUGCGAAAGCGUGGGGAGCAAACGGGA